RNA transcript from Medicago truncatula (barrel medic), 1964 nucleotides. It is a transcript of the gene named protein argonaute 4A, with no coding region annotated. The transcript has 5 exons. NCBI's taxonomy places the organism in Eukaryota, Viridiplantae, Streptophyta, Magnoliopsida, Fabales, Fabaceae. The record is from RefSeq and is a predicted model, not a curated record.
AGAGAAAAGAGUUUAUUUAUUUUUUCUUUAAAAGUUAAUUAUAUAUGACACUCUUAUUUGUUGUUUAUAAAUAACAAGUGUUAUGUGCGUCUCUUCUCUUCUCCUUACUUAUUACUCAAUGUUUUUGGUACAACCACCCCACCACAUCUCAACAAUACUCUUGCACCUUCCCACUCUCCCACCACCUCACCAAAAAUCUCUUGCAACUUCUCUUAUCAAUUUGAAUCUAACAAGCUAUGUCUGCUCAAGCAUCUCUAGUCUCGAGAACCCAAUUGAAGAAGAAUCAGAGGAUAAAGUUCUGCCGCCAAAAUUCAAGUUCAAAGUCUCAGGGGUUCUUCAAUCCUCAAUGAUUCCCUUGUGAGUAAUGAUACUGGGGUCCUUUGCUUUGUUAUCAUAUUUGCAACAUUUAAAUAAUAUGACAUCUGAAUGUGCAUUGCAGUGGAUUUAUAAGGCACACAUUCAAUUGGAUUUUUCUAAGUACUUGCGUGCAGACACAUGUUAGUGCUCAUCUGUCUGCUUUUUUUUUGGUAGAUAGACGAAAUGGCAAAGCCAUUAUAAACUCACACACACAAGUGGAGGAACCGGGGUUCGAACCCCAAUCAUGACAUCCGGCUUAACAAUUUUGGCAUUUUGCCAGUCGAGCUAGGACUUGUGGAUGUCUGCUUUACUUAGUCUAUAUAUCAUUUAUAAAUUUGUAAAAAUAUAUUAAUGGAAGUUACGAAACUUUACGCGGUUAUUUGAAAAAAAAAUUCAGUUAUUUGAUUGGGUAAAAGGACAUAAUUGUGAAUUGAAUGAUUUAAAUUAACGGUAAAAUUGAAGAAAAAAAAUGUUUACACCAGAACUUGGCGCCACUUUAUAUAUUUUCGAUCCCAUUUUAAGUUGAAUCCUGUUGAUGUGAUAUCCAUUUAUUAACUUUCUUAAUGCCUGGAUUCACAAUUGUUACUUGAAGAUGUGGGUAUUGUAGGUUUACCUUGAAGAAGAGAGGUGCUCUUCCUGGAGUUUAUGACUAUUUCGAUAACCAGCGAAAAAUUGCUUUGCACUACUCAGCUGAUCUGCCAUGUAUUAAUGUCAGGAAGCCAAAACGACCCACGUAUGUCCUAAUUGAGAUAUGCUCAUUGGUAUCCCUGAAACACUACACCAAAGCCCUGUCCAGACUUUAAUGAUCCUCUCUUGUGCAAAAGUCAAGGCAGAAGCCUAAGAACGGAUGAGGGUACUGUGGGGAUGUAAGUCUCUUUGAUAUAUAUCGAGUAAUGAAUUGUCAUAUGAAUGUCGCAUCACUGAAUAUCAUUUACAGGCGUUAAAAACAAGAGACUAUGGCUCUGAACCCAUGAAAAUUGUGCAACCUGUUAAAAUAGAGAAAUGGUAUGUGGUGAACUUUUCUGCGCGAUAUGAUGUGCAGGGACUUGUGAGGGUUCUGAUCAAAUGUGGAGGAAUGAAAGGAAUUGUAAGUUCUAUUACAGCAUAUUUACUGAAAUAUAGAUAGGGGCUAACUCCAUUCUGUUUCGUUUGCUCUUGGUAACUUGUUGAACAACCUUUUGAUGUCUUUGAAGAAAAUGGUCAGGUUAGGCUUGCUCCGCCUGUGGUCAGAGUUGAGAAAAUGCUUGAACCCGUUCAGUCUAAACUUCCUGGGGCUCCCAAGUUUCUCCUUUGUCUGCUCCCUGAGAGGAAGAACACUGAUCUAUAUGCUCUCUACCUCUUCAACAAGUCUGAUGUCAUCAUAACACGGAAGAUAAAUCAUGUGCAUUCCAGGCGGCUCAAUCUGACCACCAAAUUGGAUAACCUCAUCCUACAAUCAUUGGACAAAUGAGUAUACAAGAAAAUGCAAGGCAGUCAUGUUGUUUAAGGAUUUUAUUUAAACUAAAACACCACAUGCAAGCUCUUGAGCUCAAGGAUUCUAGACAUUGUAUAAUGAAAAAAAUAUUGUAACAUUCAACAUAUUAUACCUGCGCAAUAAGGGCAACCAA